UACCAGCACCCCGAGUGGUCGGGACGUUUAUUGGGCCUAAAGCAUCCGUAGCCGGUUCUACAAGUCUUCCGUUAAAUCCGCCUGCUUAACAGAUGGGCUGCGGAAGAUACUAUAGAGCUAGGAGGCGGGAGAGGCAAGCGGUACUCGAUGGGUAGGGGUAAAAUCCGUUGAUCCAUUGAAGACCACCAGUGGCGAAGGCGGCUUGCCAGAACGCGCUCGACGGUGAGGGAUGAAAGCUGGGGAGCAAACCGG
This 252-nucleotide ribosomal RNA is filed under the name uncultured bacterium. RNAcentral's name for it is "partial 16S ribosomal RNA". It matches the Rfam family "Archaeal small subunit ribosomal RNA", at positions 474 to 727 of the family's 1478-position model. The record is from RNAcentral.